Molecule: ribosomal RNA, 775 nt
Filed under: uncultured Neocallimastigales
Lineage: Eukaryota; Fungi; Neocallimastigomycota; Neocallimastigomycetes; Neocallimastigales
Description: partial large subunit ribosomal RNA
Rfam family: Eukaryotic large subunit ribosomal RNA
Source: RNAcentral
AGAGAGAGACAUGCGCGCAUAUCAAUAAGCGGAGGAAAAGAAACUAACAAGGAUUCCCUUAGUAACGGCGAGUGAAGCGGGAAGAGCUCAAAUUUGAAAUCUUCAAGGUUUUACCUUGACGAAUUGUAGUUUAAAGAAGUGUUUUCUGCUGGAGUUUUGGUAAAAGUUCUUUGGAAUAGGACAUCAUAGAGGGUGAGAAUCCCGUAUUUGACCAUUAUUUUCAGCUUUGUGAUACACUUUCAAAGAGUCGGAUUGUUUGGGAAUGCAGUCCAAAAUGGGUGGUAAAUUUCAUCUAAAGCUAAAUAUUGGCGAGAGACCGAUAGCGAACAAGUACCGUGAGGGAAAGAUGAAAAGAACUUUGAAAAGAGAGUUAAACAGUACGUGAAAUUGUCAAAAGGGAAGCGUUUGACACCAGUGUUGUUUUCUCGAAAAUCAAUUAAAAAUGGCUCGAUUUUGUAUUGCUUGAGACCUUAAAAGCUCACUGUACAUUUUUCGUGUCUUUUUUAAUGCACUUUUCGUUUAACAAGUCAACAUCAGUUUCUUUUGUUGUAAAAGGGUCAUUGGAAGGUGGCUUUCUUUUCGGAGAAAGUGUUUAUAGCCUUUGGCCUCUGCAAUCGGAGAGACUGAGGUCUGCAGCGUAGACUCUUCGGGGUUAGAUACAUUUGUGCUAAGUUAUAGCUUUUUAUAGACAACUUGUUGACUAUAAUUAGUCUUGUAGCUUACUCGCUUAUGCUAUUUUACCUACGCUUAGGAUGUUGAAGAUGUAGCACAUCAU